This is a long non-coding RNA of Telopea speciosissima, 154 nucleotides long. RefSeq lists it as uncharacterized. The transcript is spliced from 3 exons. Lineage: Eukaryota; Viridiplantae; Streptophyta; Magnoliopsida; Proteales; Proteaceae. The record is from RefSeq and is a predicted model, not a curated record.
AGAAUGCCAGCACUAAUGGAUAUGAUCCAAGCAAAGACCCAGCAAGAAAGGCCAAAUCAAAUGACCCUGGGUGGAAGUAUGGGUAUUGGCCAGAUCUAACAAACAAGAACGUUGUUAAAUGCACCCUUUGUGGCAAAGAAAUGAGUUGUGGAAU